RNAcentral lists this long non-coding RNA (450 nucleotides) under Lynx pardinus (Iberian lynx). Lineage: Eukaryota; Metazoa; Chordata; Mammalia; Carnivora; Felidae. The record is from RNAcentral.
GAACUUAGACACCUCCCCUCAAGCGCAGGACCAGGUGGAGAGUGGACUCCUUCUGGAUGUUGUAAUCAGACAGGGUGCGCCCAUCUUCCAGCUGUUUCCCGGCAAAGAUCAACCUCUGCUGGUCAGGGGGGAUGCCCUCUUUGUCCUGGAUCUUCGCCUUGACAUUCUCGAUGGUGUCACUGGGCUCCACCUCCAGGGUGAUGGUCUUGCCCGUCAAGGUCUUCACGAAGAUCUGCAUGCCCCCUCUGAGGCGGAGGACCAGGUGCAGAGUGGACUCCUUCUGGAUGUUGUAGUCAGACAGGGUGCGCCCAUCUUCCAGCUGUUUCCCGGCAAAGAUCAACCUCUGCUGGUCAGGGGGGAUGCCCUCUUUUUCCUGGAUCUUCCCUUUGACAUUCUCGAUGGUGUCACUGGGCUCCACCUCCAGGGUGAUGGUCUUACCCGUCAAGGUCU